CUGAAAGAAGGGGAAUCUGAAGAAGAACCAAAAGGCAUACUAGACAUAUCAAAUUUAUCUUUUGGACUGCACGGUCCAGAAAAAGAGAUACUACCCAUAGAACAAGAAGCGGCACUUGGGGCAGUUGGAGGUAAAGUGAAGUAGCCCCCACCAUGGCUCUGGCAACUAUUAGUUUUUCACUACCAGAACAAAUGCCUUCCACGCUUCCAGUUCCACUUCGUUCAUUGAGUUUCCGAACUCUGGAUCUCUGAUGAGCUGACAGAUCUGAGGACAAUCAAAGAUGCCAGCUUUCAACUUCUCCAUGGUCAAUCCUGGAAAAGCCUGGCACAAGUAAGUGAAGCAGUCACCAUCCUUGUCCAGAGCCUUGGUGAACUGCUUGAUUAAGCCGAGCUUGAUGUGCAGCGGUGGGAAGAGUAUUCUGUCUCUGUCCACCAGAGGGUUGUUGAUGACGUUCCUUUCUUUGCAAGGCACCAAUUCCUCCCGCACAGGCCAGUCAUUCUUCGUGUAAUGCUGAGCACAGUCCCUACUAUCUCACAUGCACANNNNNNNNNNNNNNNNNNNNNNNNNNNNNNNNNNNNNNNNNNNNNNNNNNNNNNNNNNNNNNNNNNNNNNNNNNNNNNNNNNNNNNNNNNNNNNNNNNNNAAAACAUGGGUACUUAGUGAAGCCAGACUGUUGUCCCAAUAAAAAGUUCACCAUCUUCAGGUCAACACAAAUAAACCACUUAUGCUGAUCAUAACCAAUUUUCUCCAGCACAUACUUCACCGCUUCAUAGUUCUCCUUCAGUGUACUUGAGUGAGCCAGGGGUAUAGAGGCAAACUGGUUGCCGUUGUAUAGCAGAACACAUUUCAGUGAUCGCUUGCUGCUGUCAUUGAACAGUCUCCAAUCUUUGGGUUCAUACUGUGGCACUCCAAGCUUGAGCAGAAGCUGUGCAAUAUCUGCACAGUACACCAAGUCCUUCUCUUCCGAGAAAAAAUGGAGGUUUUAUGACUUCAAACUGUUCCCUUUUUGACAUAAUCACCCAGAACUAUCGGAUCUGAAUACUUCUUGUCAUUAAAAUAAUCAUUUCCAAUCAAAACAAUUAUUCGACAUGGCAUUUUACCCACACCAACUUCUUCUAAAAUGCUCCACACAAGCGUACAUGUGAACAAAAACGAAAACAAAAACAAAAACGACAUGUGGCCAUAGCUCAAAAACUUGACCUGAUUGAGCAAAACCAAUGUGAUUUUUGGAUUCAGCGCAUCAGAUUCAUCCUAAAUCAACUGAAAAAACACAGACAACAGAUUUGUUGUUGAUCAGUGUUAUCGUAUCGUAUCGUAUCGUAUUGUAUCAUAAAGUCCUGGCCCAGGUGUGACAUACCUCCCCUUGACUCUAGCCUUGAUGAGAGAGCCUUUGUGGGGUGUCUGGUUGUGCCCCCUCAGAAAUUUGCACCCAGGGCCACGGUCCCCCUGCCCCCCUCCCACUACGCCACUGAUUUCACAUUCUCUUAACAAAGAAUUCUUGGCACUCUCAACAAGCCACAACUCCUAGGAUUCCUUGUGGGAAGCCAUGCUACUUAAACAAGCAUAAAAGCAAUGUACCUUUGCAAUGUAUAUAAAUACAGAGAAAGACCAAGAGAUCUUAUAAAUACUAGUACAAUGAUAGUGUGCUUGCUCAGCAAGGUUUUAUUUUGAGCAGUUAAGGAAAACAAUUAAAACUUCUCCAAUGCAAGAUUUAAUCGGAAGUGUGAAAAUAUCACACUGAGCUUUCCCUUAGCUUGCAUGGAGUGCUAGCAUGAAAUACAACACAACAACGUGAGGUUGUUUUGCAUUGCUUUCGAGCACAACUGUGAUGCAUUAAGGCGAGCAUAAAACAUGAGGGGGAAACUGUGAAAAGGCUCCUUCAGCAGUUCUUCUGUAUGAAUCUUUUAAAAAGGACACCUUGUUUGCUUUGCAUUAAGAUCCUGUGAUUAUUCUGAAUGCUGCAUUGCACGCCCUCCCCUAGCUGUGGGAGUGGUUGUGGGUAUUUUGUACACCUACACACACAGAGAGCAGUCACAUACCCACAUUAAAAAAACAAAAACACCUAUUCUGCCAGCAGAAAAGUAAAACAAAGUGCAUCUGCAUAUAUUUGAGAAGGCACACAUUCACUCAGCUCCAAGAAAGCUGGCUUUGACCCAAGUUGGAUUGUUAUUGCAAGAAAUGGGAGAAUGGAAGGAGAAUUCCUUGGGGAGGGAGUAGAGCUCAGCAACAGAGCACAUGCGUUACUCAUAGGGAUGGAAGGAUCUGUCAAUUUCGGUUCUCUCCGUUUCUCAUUUUCUGAUCUUAAAUUCAAUUCCCCACAUUACCCCCCAUUUCUGCAACAAUUUGCAUUUUUAAAAAAUCCCUAUGAAAGUUUGCCAGCAAUUUAGGGUUAAUUUCUCAUAAUGAACACAAGCAAUGCUUGCAAGCAAUCUAACAUAAUGCAUUUUUGUAUGUUAUUUUAAGCGAUGUAGUAAUAUUUAUACACACUUUUUUCUUGUAAAUGCUUCUUAGUUGGAGAACUGUACUGCCAAAUUUGAAGUUUGGCUGUUUUGGUUCCCAUAUAGCAUGGGUAGGCAAACUAAGGCCCGGGGGCUGGAUCUGGCCCAAUCGCCUUCUAAAUCCAGCCCACGGACGGUCCGGGAAUCAGCGUGUUUUUACAAGAGUAGAAUGUGUCCUUUUAUUUAAAAUGCAUCUCUGGGUUAUUUGUGGGGCAUAGGAAUCCGUUCAUUCCUCCCCCCAAAAAUAUAGUCCAGCCCCCCACAAGGUCUGAGGGACAGUGGACUGGCCCCCUGCUGUAAAAGUUUGCUGGCCCCUGCAUAGUUUCAGAAACUGAUUUGAUAUUUGCCUUUAAAUGUGAACUUUAUUUGUGGUUUCAGAGUUAGCGCUAACCAAGGCAUCUUGAAUUGUAGCCAACUAAGUUCUGCUUAGAGUCAAACUGGAGGAUGGAGACAAGGGCAGAUGGACGUGUGGGCGUUCCAGGCUAGCGGUCCAAGCAAGGUGAGGAGGUCUGCUCCAGAAGACAGAGAUACAAGUGGGUCAGCAGCUGAAAUGAGGAGGAGAAGGGAACCGGAGAACAGAGACAGAGACAGGAGAGUAGAUGGGCAACCCAGGUGAACAGUCCAGGUGAGGUGUGGAGAUAUGGUAAGGUCCAGGGGUAUUUUAUUUGCGAGAUGUAAAGGGAGGUAAAGGGGGGGGGGUGUUUGGUGAGGUGUAAGUGGGGGGAGGGGAUUGACAAAGCAGUUGGGAUUGGGUGGGGGGUGGGGGCAAGAGCAAUUAGUGAGCAAAGCCCCUAGUUCUCUAUAUUGAUAGUAAUCUGUAUUUUGAUAGUUUUGUUUUGUCUGCUGUUGAUUUUGUCAGCAUUUUCUUAUGAGUAUGUUAUACAGUGGUACCUUGGUUCUCAAAGUUAAUCCGUUCUGGAAGUCUGUUCCAAAACCAAGCAUUCCAAAACCAAGGCACACUUUCCCAUAGAAAGUAAUCUAAAAUGGAUUAAUCCAUUCCAGACUUUCAAAAACAACUCCUAAAACAGCAAUGAAUUUUACUAUUGAACGAGACCAUUGAGCCAUAAAAUGAAAGCACUAAUCAAUGUUCUGUACUAUAAAAUAAAUAAGACAGUGUUGUAGAUGAUAACAAUUAUUAUUUUUUCUUACCUGCACUGAUGAUAGUCAUUGUUUGGAUGGGGGGCUUUUAUCCAUUUCCACAGUUACACAAUCAAUCAAUCAAUCAAUCAAUCAAUCAUAAAAUGAAAAACAAGCCACAGUCACAAAAAUGAAAAAGUCACACAAACAAAAAUGCAAAAAUUAGCAAAAACAAAAGCACCAAAUAUCACCUCAGAACAUUGCAAUCAGAAAUGGAAGGCUUUAAUUACGAUGGGGGGGGGGAGACUUAAAUUAGCUGCUCAAAGAUACAAAUGGGAUGAAAAAAGGCUUAAUUACGACAAGGGGGGGGCCUUAAAUUUGCUGCACAAGGGUAAAACAAGAGGGGGAAAGCCUUAAUAAUUAUGCAGGGGACUCAAAUUUGCUGCACAACAGUAAAAACAGAAGCUCAGGAGCAAGUUCGGCUUCCAAGGCAAAGUUUGAAAACUGGAACACCUACUUCUGGGUUUGCAGCAUUCGGGUUCUGAGUUGUUUGGGAACUAAGUUGUUCGAGAACCAAGAUACCACUGUAUUAUUUUAUGUAAAUCACUCUGGAGAAGUUUUUUUUUAAAAAUAAGUGGUAUAUAAAUUGAGUGAAACAAACAUUGCGAGUGAGACAGCAGCAGCUGCUAGUGCAACUGGCUAGAUUAGAAGGGACAAGGCAAGUUGUGUGGCAAGUGCAGCACCAUCUUCUAUCACUCCCUCAACCACUUUCUGGCUCCAGGCAUUAUUUAUUUGCUCAGUUUUGCAUUUGUAUAUCAUGUAAUCAUCAAGAAAAAAACACGCUGUUUGAAACAGUGGUUCUAAGUAGUUUUACAAAGCAUAGGCUUGCAGCCACCUUAGUGUUAAAUACAGUGGUACCUCGCAAGACGAAUGCCUCGCAAGACGAAAAACUUGCAAGACGAAAGAGUUUUUUGUUUUUUGAGUUGCUUCGCAAGACGAAUUUCCCUAUGGGCUUGCUUCGCAAGACGAAAAACGAAAACGUCUUGCAAGUUUGUUUCCUUUUUCUUAAAACCAUUAAUACCCAGGGUGACUUCGAGGAGCAACUCAUAGCACGCGGUGUGGUAGCCUUUUUUGAGGUUUUCUGAAGACUUUGCUGAUUUUGAAGACUCUGGGAAACUGUGCUUCGCAAGACAAAAAAUUCGCAAGACGAAAAAACUCGCAGAACGAAUUAAUUUCGUCUUGCGAGGCACCACUGUAACUUUGUUGCUCUUUAGUCAUUUAGUAGUGUCCGACUCUUUGUGACCCCAUGGACCAGAGCACGCCAGGCACUCCUGUCUUCCACUGCCUCCUGCAGUUUAGUCAAACUCAUGCUGGUAGCUUCAAGAACACUGUCCAACCAUCUCGUCCUCUGUUGUCCACUUCUCCUUGUGCCCUCCAUCUUUCCCAACAUCAGGGUCUUUUCCAGGGAGUCUUCUCUUCUCAUGAGGUGGUCAAAGUAUUGGAGCCUCAGCUUCAGGAUCUGUCCUUCCAGUAAGCACUCAGGGGUGAUUUCCUUCAGAAUGGAUAGGUUUGAUCUUCUUGCAGUCCAUGGGACUCUCACGAGUCUCCUCCAGCACCAUAAUUCAAAAGCAUCAAUUCUUUGGCGAUCAGCGUUCUUUAUGGUCCAGCUCUCAUUUCCAUACACCACUAUUGGGAAAACCAUAGCUUUAACUCAGAAGCAUAGAAUUGUAAGCGAUCACAAGAAUUGUUUCGUCUAACUCCAGGAAUCUUUUGCCCAACGUGGGGCUUGAACCCUUGACCCUGAGACUGGAAGUCUUGUGCUCUACCAACUGAGCUAUCCCGGCUCAACUUGCUCAUCUGGGUUUCUAACACGCCAGAACAUAUUUAGGGAGGAUGCAAGGCGCCAGGUGAAAUGAGUGCACUGGGUACUACCCAUAACACACGCACCCCAAGCCAAUCACACAACCUUGUUACAAUACACAAUACUUUUUUAAAAAAAGAAACCCACCUACCAUAAUUAAAACACAUUUCUUUAAAACAUUGAAGUAUAAAGGUCCAUAAUGAAAAGAUGCAGGCAGCUGCCACAUUGUGCCUAAUGGUAGGGCCAGCCCUGAGUAUAUUAGAUGGCUAACCUAGCUCUGGGUUGUGUGAUAAGAGGCUCCUGGCUGCAGGAGCUUCAGCUGCUUUUGUACUGUCUCAUUUUCAGAUCAGAGGAGGAAGAAAAGGGGGGGGGGAGAGGAUAAAUAAACAAGGAAACAAACAAAAAGUUUCCGCUAAAAUCAUCUCUACGACUGCUAGGACUUUUUCCCGGCUUAGCAAUUUCCCUCCCUCACAACUUCAAUCUCACCCAUGAAAGAAAAGGCAAAGGAAAAAAAAUUGAAAUGCUGCAUUCUCUCUCUCUCUCUCUCUCUCUCUCUCUCUCUCUCUCUCUCUCUCCCUCUUUGUUAAGGCUUCUUUGCUGCAGGCAGUUGUAGAAAGCAAAGGGUAUAAAAAUAAAACCAAAAAUACCCAGGAGAAGCACAUUUCUGAAGUUUUUCUCAGGUUCUGCUACUGAGGACAAAAUUAAAAAAUAAAUAGCUUCUCUCUAGCUUUCCCUUUGUACCCCAACUUAAAAAUAAAAUGAAAUACAAGAUGUGUGAGCUCAUAGAAUAAGAGGCAUGGAGUGGGUGGGUGGGAAGCCUGUUGUUAAAAAGUAAUAGGCUUAAUUGCAAGUGAGACUUCUGUUUAUAUCCAUUCUGAGUGCCUCAUAAAUACUGAAAAGACUUACUGCAUUACUGCAUUUCAAAUAAGCUCAAGACUCAUCAGUAUUAUCCAUUCAUUCAUUCAAUUUUUCCAUUGCUUUCUGCAUGCAGCUGAAGGAGAUUUACAAACACAACAUAAAAACAGCUAAAACAGUACAAAACAACAGCUAAGCAACAUAAAAUGAACACCUUUUGACCCACCCAGAAAGUAUGAUUUAACAAGAAAGUCUUUAUUUGUUUCUGGAAAGAACGCACAAUGCGUUCCAUAGUGCAGAUAUUGUGGCAGUUCAGUGGGUGAACAUUAGAAUUGCAGAGUCAGCAGGGACCACAAAUAUUAUUAAGUGUAAUCCAGUGCUGAUGUAGGAAUUCCAUCCUCAGCUUGAAACCUUCUAAUGAAGAAGAGUCCACCAGUCUUCUGAGUCAGGCUGUUCUGCUGUCACACGUCUUGUCCUCAUGUUUGGCGGAGAUCCCCUGUCUUGUAAUUUGAAUUGGUUGGUUCGAGUCUCACCCUCUUGAAGCAGUAGAAGUUUGCUCUGUCCUCUAUGUGACAGCCCAUCAAAUGUUUGAAGACAAUUAUUAUACCAUCUCCUGAUCAUCUCUGCUAUGGACUAUACAUACCCAGUUCCUUCAAGUUAUCCUUGUAGGGCUUGGUCUCUAGGAACCACACCAUUUUUGAUGUCUUCCUCUGGACACAUUCCAGUUUGUUAGUAUCUUUUGUAAACUUUGUUGCCUGGGAUGGGUCACGAUGCUCCAGGAACAAAAGCAGAAUAGAGUGGUUACCAUUUCUUCUUUUGAUCUGGACACUACACAUCUGCUGGUACAACUUAGAAUUACACUACCCAUUUUAGGCAGCUCGUCACACUGCUGGCUUGUACAGUAUUUAGCUUGUGGUGUACUAAAACCCCUAGACACAUUUCACAUGUACUGCUGGUAAGCCGGCUGUCGCCCACCCUGUAUUUUCACAUCUAACUCUGCCUGCCUUAAUGCAGAACUUUACACCCAUCUCUGUUGAAAUUAGUUCUGACCCAGUUCUCCAUUACGUUUACGGCAAUCCGAACAAACACGGGGAUUUUUGUUUUUCAGUUUUUGUGUACAAUUCCGCACUGCUGAGAGACAAAGUGGUUUUGAAAUCCGACAGCUGACUUUUUUCUUUGGCAGUGGAAACAAUGAUAACAAAUAAAGCUGGUUACAAACUUAAAGGACUCCCUUCCCCUUAGCUACUGUUAUUCAGAAGCUAUGGCUAGCUCAGGGAUAGCCUGAGAUUUUUUUUGUUGCCAGCUUCUGCCAUCCUGAAUGUGAGGGACUGGCUGACUCUUUGUAGGAGCUGGCCUCCUAAGAACCCCCCAGGAAGAUGACAACUCAGAUCCGGGAUUAUGGUGGUGGGACACCAAGGAACAGUCUGGGGAAGGUGUGAGCUGAGAUGUGCUAGAAGCAGGGGGUUUGAGCGAUCAGGGGACCACAACAGGUGAAGGAGGCCCUUCCAGGACAGGGUUAGAGGCUGAGAGUCACAGUGUGGGUGCAGAUUCAGACAGAAAGGAGUCAGAGGUUGCCCUCUGCAUGUUGCUGAGUAAUGGGCCAGGCAGGUCCAGAGGAGGAGCUCACCCCCUCAACACAGUCUUUGUCUGCUUGGGAGGGAUACAGAAUGAGAGCCUAGAGGGGGAAGGAUGGGAGCUGGUACUCCUUUUCAGAUGGAUUAAGAUAAGCCAGAGGAGAGAACUCUGCUGUGCUGUUCUUUCCUGUUAAUAAAAAGCUAACUGCAUUCCUUGCCUCCCAUUCUUUCCAGCCCUGUGGAUGACCUGGGCUCACUUGACAACUCCUUGACACCGAACAAGCAUGGCCCAUGGUCAGAGAUGAAGGGAGUUAUAGGACAACAAACAAAUUGAGUUCACCAGGUUGGCCACCCUUGGCCUAGCUGGAUGAAGAACCACAUCUGCAAAUGGG
This 8256-nucleotide long non-coding RNA is filed under the name Podarcis lilfordi (Lilford's wall lizard). Lineage: Eukaryota; Metazoa; Chordata; Lepidosauria; Squamata; Lacertidae. The record is from RNAcentral.